Molecule: unclassified non-coding RNA, 233 nt
Filed under: uncultured fungus
Lineage: Eukaryota; Fungi
Description: sequence contains ITS1, 5.8S rRNA gene
Rfam family: 5.8S ribosomal RNA (bases 185-233)
Source: RNAcentral
UCUCCGUAGGUGAACCUGCGGAGGGAUCAUUACAAGAGUGAGGGCCCUCGCGGCCCGAACCUCCAACCCCAUGUUGUCCGACUCUGUUGCCUCGGGGGCGACCCGGCCCUUCUGGGCGACGGGGCCCCCGGUGGACCACUCAACCCUGCAUCGUUGCGUCCGAGUCGUAAUAUAAAUCAAUCAAAACUUUCAACAACGGAUCUCUUGGUUCUGGCAUCGAUGAAGAACGCAGC